CCGGGUGCUGGCGUACAGGAGCCCCAGCGAGGCGCAGGCGAACAGCAGCACCGACACGCACAGGGCCCGGCGGCCCAGCCGCAUCCUGGAUGGGCAGGAGGGGUGCGGGGGAAGCGGCGAGGGAAUUUUCCUGGGAACAGCUUUGCAGGCAGGAACAGAGCUGCAGCAUCCGACCUGAGGGCCAGCGUGGAUGCAGGCGGCGAGAGUGAUGGUGUUUGCCUAAGGGUCACAUCUGCUAGGAUCAGGAACUAUUCCUGACUUGAUGUCCAGUGGCCACUUCUGGAUGUACUCGGGGAACUGUAUGCAGUGCCAGGGAUCGAAUAUCUGGGAUGGCCAAAGUUUCUCUAACCAUCUGCUGAUACGAUCAGAAGAUGUUUAUUUGUACUUUUGUUGAUGUGGGGCAUUACACUAAUUGACUGACACAUAUUGAGCCAUUUUCAUAGCCGUGGAAU
Molecule: long non-coding RNA, 452 nt
Organism: Sorex araneus (European shrew)
Lineage: Eukaryota; Metazoa; Chordata; Mammalia; Eulipotyphla; Soricidae
Exons: 3
Source: RefSeq, a predicted model, not a curated record